Molecule: ribosomal RNA, 393 nt
Filed under: Triticum aestivum (bread wheat)
Lineage: Eukaryota; Viridiplantae; Streptophyta; Magnoliopsida; Poales; Poaceae
Description: partial small subunit ribosomal RNA
Source: RNAcentral
AUGUAUGUCUACGACAUUUUAUUUCCAGGACAAAUAAAAUGGCCCAUUCAUAGUUCACCGAGGCAUCAUCUUACUGUCGAUAUUAGCAGGAAAUUGCGUGCCACACAUGCAUAUUGCCGGAUACUUGGGGCUCAUUCCGUUUACAGGAUUUCGAAAUCAAAGAAAUUGAAAAGCGUGAGUCUCUUCUUGGUCCUGAAACAACGCUGGCUUCUCCCCCCUCUGCUUCGGUGGGAGCUCGUGGCGCUUGCUAUUGUAGAUAAGCUCGCGCUAGAGCUCCAAAUGAAAAUUAUGCAUGUUGCCUCCGUUGUUGGUGAUAAGAUGCAAGUCAAAUCAAGAUUUCCCCGCUGCAUCAUGUUUCAACAAGCUGAGUCUGGCUUAGUGGAGCCUGUUUGA